CUAUGAUCCUGAAGGCAAGUGGGACUACCCGCUGAACUUAAGCAUAUCAAUAAGCGGAGGAA
RNAcentral lists this ribosomal RNA (62 nucleotides) under Rhizopus microsporus var. oligosporus. RNAcentral describes it as "partial 28S ribosomal RNA". It matches the Rfam family "Eukaryotic large subunit ribosomal RNA", at positions 1 to 58 of the family's 3401-position model. Lineage: Eukaryota; Fungi; Mucoromycota; Mucoromycetes; Mucorales; Rhizopodaceae. The record is from RNAcentral.